UGGGGAAUAUUGGACAAUGGGCGAAAGCCUGAUCCAGCCAUGCCGCGUGUGUGAAGAAGGUCUUCGGAUUGUAAAGCACUUUAAGUUGGGAGGAAGGGCAGUAAGCGAAUACCUUGCUGUUUUGACGUUACCGACAGAAUAAGCACCGGCUAACUCUGUGCCAGCAGCCGCGGUAAUACAGAGGGUGCGAGCGUUAAUCGGAAUUACUGGGCGUAAAGCGUGCGUAGGCGGCUAAUUGAGUCGGAUGUGAAAUCCCCGAGCUUAACUUGGGAAUUGCAUUCGAUACAGGUUAGCUAGAGUGUGGGAGAGGAUGGUAGAAUUCCAGGUGUAGCGGUGAAAUGCGUAGAGAUCUGGAGGAAUACCGAUGGCGAAGGCAGCCAUCUGGCCUAACACUGACGCUGAGGUACGAAAGCAUGGGGAGCAAACAGG
This 429-nucleotide ribosomal RNA is filed under the name Pseudomonadota bacterium. Its description in RNAcentral is "Proteobacteria bacterium partial 16S ribosomal RNA". It matches the Rfam family "Bacterial small subunit ribosomal RNA", at positions 355 to 776 of the family's 1533-position model. The record is from RNAcentral. Lineage: Bacteria; Pseudomonadati; Pseudomonadota.